This is an RNA transcript of Lycium barbarum (goji berry), 6149 nucleotides long. RefSeq lists it as uncharacterized. The transcript has 14 exons. Lineage: Eukaryota; Viridiplantae; Streptophyta; Magnoliopsida; Solanales; Solanaceae. The record is from RefSeq and is a predicted model, not a curated record.
AAAAAAAUCCCAAAACGUGACAUUGCACCUUUUCUAUAACUAUCAACAUCAUCAUCAUUUCAACCGGAUCUUCUUCGACCCGAAAAUAAUUUCAAAUUCUCAGUUCUUACAAAACCUAACCCUAAUUCUUCAAUUUUUUUCAAUUCAAUGGCCAGUGAUUCCAAUGAACCUGCUAUUCGUAAACACCAUCGAUCUUCUCCUUCAGAUGAAGAUAACGGAGAACCAUCGAAACGCCGUAAACACCGUCACCACCACCGUCACCAUCGCCACCACAGCAAAAAAUCCGACCCGAAACCCGAUUCGAAACCCGAAAACGACACGGGUAAACCGAAAGGUGAGAUUGAGAAUUUAGGGAUUGGUACUGUUAUUGGUGUUGCUGAUUUAGGGAUUGAUUAUGAUGAUAUGGAAGAAGGUGAAAUUAUUGAGGAUGAUGACGUGGCAACAAAAAAAUUGGAGAAUGAAGAUGAUUUGGACAUGGAGUUGCAUGAACCUCAAGGACAAGGGCCUACAGACAAUGUGGAAAAAGUCGACAGAGAUUCCGCUGCUUCAGGACGGCAUGAUGAGCAAAGGAAAAGUAGAAAAUCUAAUAGUUCUAGAGAAAGGAAAUCCAGUGACAAGCAUUUUGCGAAUGGUAGUUACAUAGCUGAAUCUCAUAAAUUGGACUCUAAAGCUCAGAAAGAAGAUAGUUUUGCUGGUGAAGAAAGUAGAAAGAAAAAGAGCUAUGAUGAGGAUGAAAGUGAUAUACAGGAUCAAAGAAAAUCUAUGACACCUGAAAAUGUUGGGAAGAGGCAUAGAUCUGUUAGGGUAUCAUCUUCUCGUGAUGAGCACCAUGAAGAGAAACAUGUUACAAGGUCAUCCAAGUCACCUGAUCGGUCCAGAGGAAGAUCGCGAUCCAAAAGUGUUUUAGAGGAGUCUUUCCUUGUACCUAAGUCUCGUGAGAAAGAUGACACAAAUGAGAGGGAAAGCAGAUAUAGAAGUAACUUGGAUGAUGGGGAAAUUGGACACAACAGAGACUAUCGACAUGGAAGCCGAGAGUCUUCAAGGGAUUGGGAAAAAGAGCAUAAUUCUAGUUACAGCAGACGCUCUAGGGAAGGGUAUCAUAACCGGGAAAGUGUUGACAGAUAUCGGGAGAGUAGCAUGGAGAAUUACAGGGAUAGAGUGAGAGAGAAAGACAGGGAGCGCGAGUUGGCUAGAGAAAAGGGAAGGGAGAGUCAUAAGGAGAAGGAGAGGGAAAGGGAGAGGGAAAGGGAGAGGGAGAGGGACAGAGAGAGGGAAAGAGAGAAAGCUCGAGAUAGGGAAAGAGAGAGGGAGAGGGAUAGAGAACGGGAAUAUGCAAGGGGGACAGUGAGGGAGAGGGAUAGAGAGAGAGAUAGUUUCAGAGAGAGGGAGGAGAGAGAAAGGAGGAAUAGGGAUAGGGAAAGCAGAGGACGUAGUAGGGAGGCAGAUAGGGAUAGAUAUAGUGAUAGGUCCAGCAGGCAGCGGAGAUAUGAUGACCUUGAUGAUGGUCCUGCUUAUAGUAGAUGUAAUAGACAUUAUGAGACUGAUAUUGAGAGAGAAAGGACAAGUGAUCAUUUCAAAACUGAGAACACAAAGCAAAAAGCUGUAGAGACAGACAGUGAGAAAUCUAGAAGAGAUGAAGUUGAGCAGGAGGAUUAUCAGGAAAAAAUUGUUUCCCAGCUUGCUGAACAGGAAGAAGAAGACGAACUUGAUAGAAUUAAGGAGGAGAGCCGAAGGCGAAGGCAAGCUAUUCUUGAAAAAUAUAAGAAUCAGCAGUCGCAGGAGGAAAAAGUUACUCUGUCCGGGGACGUCGUUGAGGUUUACAUGGAUCAGUCCACUCAAAAGCCUGCAGCAGGAGACAAUGUUGUGCCAGAGUCGAUUGAUGGUAAAAGCAAUGGUGCAGAUGUCCAUGUGGAUGAGCCAACUUUUUCUGUUGGGAAAUCACCUUUGCAGGAUGGUGAUAUUGCUGACGAGCAGGCUUCUGGAGCUGGUGGACUGGGAAAGGGUACUCCAAAGAGUGAGAGGUCGGCUGAUAUGUUUUGUGACGAUAUAUUUGGAGAAUCACCUGCUGGCAUCCGGAAAAUGGGCAAAGGAGAUGGCGUGGCAGUUGAGCGCAGUGGCCUUCAUGAUAAUUGGGAUGAUCCAGAAGGGUAUUAUAGUUAUCGGUUCGGAGAAAUUCUUGAUGGCCGUUAUGAGAUUGUUGCUGCUCAUGGUAAAGGAGUCUUUUCUACUGUUGUUCGGGCUAGAGAUCUCAAGGCUAGAUCUGGUGACCCUGAAGAAGUAGCAAUAAAAAUGAUACGCAAUAAUGAAACGAUGUAUAAAGCUGGUAUGGAAGAGUUGGUCAUAUUGAAGAAGCUAGUUGGUGCAGAUCCUGAAGAUAAGCGCCACUGUGUUCGUUUUAUUUCUAGCUUCAAGUACCGGAAUCAUCUCUGUUUAGUUUUUGAGUCUCUUCAUAUGAAUCUCCGUGAGGUUCUGAAGAAGUUUGGGCGUAACAUUGGACUCAAACUUACUGCUGUGAGGACGUAUGCCAAGCAACUUUUCAUUGCUUUGAAGCAUUUAAAAAAUUGUGGUGUGCUUCAUUGUGAUAUUAAACCCGACAACAUGCUGGUAAAUGAAGCGAAAAAUGUGCUGAAGCUUUGUGACUUUGGUAAUGCUAUGUUUGCUGGCAAAAACGAAAUUACUCCAUACCUCGUGAGCCGUUUUUACCGUGCCCCAGAGAUCAUACUUGGCUUGUCGUAUGAUCAUCCGAUGGAUAUAUGGUCUGUUGGUUGCUGUUUGUUUGAGCUUUAUGCUGGGAAAGUGUUAUUUCCAGGUCCAAGUAAUAAUGACAUGCUUCGUCUUCAUAUGGAAUUGAAAGGUCCAUUUCCAAAAAAGAUGCUUAGAAAGGGUGCGUUUACAGAUCAACACUUUGACCAAGAUCUCAAUUUUCUUGCCACCGAAGAGGAUCCUGUGACAAAAAAGGCUAUGAGGAAGCUGAUUGUUAACAUCAAGCCAAAAGAUAUCAGUUCAAUAAUUUCGGGUUCUCCUGGUGAAGACCCAAAGAUGUUGUCUCACUUUAAAGAUCUUAUGGAGAGAAUCUUUGUGUUAGAUCCAGAAAAGAGAAUAACUGUUUCCCAGGCAUUGAGCCACCCAUUCAUCACGGGCAAGUGAACGACAAUGAUGCUAGGGACAUGCUGUUGCGCUAGAUACUAGUGCAUCAUGAUCAUAUGAUCUUAGUUUAUAUUCAGUUCUCUAAUCAUUGGACUUUAUCUGUUUUUAUCUACUAUCUUGGGUUAAGUGCUUCGGAGCUUGGCAUGGUUGAAGUUGCAGAGAAGAUUGCUGACCGUGGGAGAUCUAUAUCUUGGCAGUUCUUUCAGUGGAUUGUUUUCUGUUCUAUCGAUAUCUACCAGGGCUUUGAGGCAAGAUUCAGUGAUUUAGAUGCUUAAAAGGCACCCUGGAGAAGGUACCUUGGAUUGUUUGUUAGGAAUUACUGUGACACCCUUUAAAUGUUGUGGAUCAUCUUGAUUCCUCUAACAUCAGCCAAAAUUCGUGUUUUCUCCUUUGUGUUAACUUUUUAAUUUUUCUUGACAAGUUCUGAUUUCUGAACUUUAAUUUGGUCUUGCCUGAAAAAUUGAACGCCUGAGGGUGGCUUGUUAAUGAGCCUCCUUAGGCUAGAAUAGUAAAGCUAUCAAGAGCAAGAGUAUUUAUUCUAUUUGGGCUCAUCGUUUUUUCUGGAAAUAAUUUGGAGUCAUUGUUAUUUCUUCUAUUUCUUAAAUCUUUGUAUAAAAACACUUUCUAAUGAAGUUGCAUUGCAUCUGAUCCAUGGUAUGGUCAUCCUGGAGCAAUGUAUGACUGGAGAUGAUCAGAUGCAGCCUUGAAGUGAGAGUUGUUUCAGGUGUGGUUUUCAUGCAUCUGCAGUUCUAGUAAGUAUCCUUGAAUUUCAUUACAUCUCUGGUGUAAUAGGUACCCAUCUUUUGAAAACCUUAUAUUAUUCUAUCAAUGUAUUACGUUCAAAGUUUGCUAGUCAUCCAUGGAAAUGACCGACUUGGAGUCCUCGGAUUAAAUUUUUUAACUGGUUUUGCUAAUAAAGGCCAUUGUGGAUCAAAAUCUCUCUCAAAUUUCUGUUGUCACUCUACCUAACACUUAGUUCCCGUGCCAGAUUGUCAUGAAAACAAUCAUAUGUCUAGCUUGCAUUGGAAUUUGACUUUGUAGCUCCUCUAAGCAACUGCUAUUAAAUUCUCUAUAAUUAGUUUAAUUUUCGAUUCUGCAAGAUUGAAGUGUCGGUCUAAGCUACAACAUGUCUUCAUUGAGGCAUCAGGAGAUGUUCUGACUUGAUUGUUCUUGAAGCCUAUUGAUUGGGAACUUCUGGAAACUUCCAUAUAGGUUGAAAGGAUUUGAGGGAAAUACACUGGAAUGUGUCGGAGAGUUUGUGCCUGGAGCUCUCCAGCCUUUAUUUGUGUUUGUUUUAUUGGACGCCCUUGAACGAGGCAGGUUAGAGGAUUGAGUGAGCUGCCCUCCAACGAGGUAAAUUAGAUAGGGAGAAACCUGAUGGCAUGGACUAGUGGUCAAUGAAGUAGGAGGAGCAGCAUGAGUCUCAGGGUCAAAUUCCAGUGGAGGCAAAGAACACUAGGCGAUUCCUUCCCAUCUGCCUAAGCCUUGGUGGGUAGAGCUCAAGGCAGAGCUACUCAAUACCCCUGUGCUGGUAGGAGGUAGUAAGUACCCGGUUGGCAUAAAAUAAGGGAGAAGUGUUAUAGUGCUCUCCAUUGUAUGCUUUGUCGUAUGUUACCUUAUGCUAAAUUUUAGCAAGUUGCCCACUUCAAUAGGUGGCCAGUUGAUGUUUCCCCAUUUGAAGUGAUGAUAAACCUCAAACAAGUUUAAUCUAGGACAAAUUUACCAUCCCACACGUAAAGAAAAAAUAGAGCACAGUGAUAGAGAAGAGGAUUGGCGCUCAUGUGUGUUAGUUGGCCAUAAGGAUGUGAGGAAAUGUUUGGUUUCUGAACAAGCAUGGGAUUCUCGUUCAAUAUGCAUUGCAUUUUUCUCCAAUCUACAUAGUCAAGGAAACAUUUGACCAGCUUCCCAAUUUUUUUUUCUCUCCACUUUCUUAGGCACCAAUGUUCUGCUCCUUGGCGAGGCCUCUCUGACUCUGGCUAUCCAAUUUGUAGCCAUUAGACUUCAUUAUUGAUGGCAAGCUCCAAUAAGUAACUCUAGUUUUCUAUCCACGGGAUCUGGCCAUCUCGAAAGAAUUGAGAUGUGACGUAUAACCAAGAGUCUUUAAACCUCUCAACACAUGACUACUAUUCGGCUAGUAAUCUUUCUAUCCCAUGCUAACAAAUUCAACAUUCAAGUUCGAUUUCAUUUUUUAGGCUUAUGGUACGUUCAUUGUCAUGCUAGGCACUAGCAAUUACUUUCGUCAUUUAUUAAUUCUACGUGUUGGUGGGUUUCUAUUUUUGUAGUUUUAUUCUUGCAAAGAACUUCUACAAUUCAAAGCAUUCUAGGUUUUACUUCAUUUUUCCACGUUUCUUGUAAAGUACAAUCUUUUAUCUAUUUUCUAGCAUGUCUUAUAUGUUAUCGUCUUAUCUGUUGCUAUGCUGGAGUUUUUGUGCGCGAUAGGAGGCAUUAAUUGUUUAUUUGGGUUAAGACUAAGAUGGACGGCUUGUCUUUCAAAUUGCUUUGAAUAUAAAAAGUUGUUAGAAAAUACACUUAUCCAAAGGAGUGUAAGGGUUUUCAAAGAGAGUUUAUAAAGCCCUAGCCACGCUACCCAUAGCUUUAAGUUUCCGGUUACAUGCUAGUUACCUUAUUGGUUUGUCUAGGGGUUUGUAGAGGAGCUUAUAAUGUCGGGAUUGUUCCACUCAUAACUUAAAGAUUUUGAGUUGGAUAUUUAGAUUCUUUCACAUGGUGUCUGAGAUAACUUUUGGUAAGCCCGUUUUCACAAUUGUAUUACUCUGCUAUUAGUUUGGUCUGGACUUCUCACUUGCUCAAUUCAGUACAUCGAGCCAUUAAUUUUUUUCAGGAUUAUCUUGUGGUUUGUUGAGCCUACUCGUUCUCUGCCCCAUGCCCACUCUUCAGUUUAUUGAGUCUAUUCUCUCUCCCGCAACUUUUGGUCCAUUCUCGCCUGGUGUCUCUCCUCAGGUUCAUCUUUAGUUCCUUAAUAAAAUUGAGCAAAAAAAAAAAAA